Molecule: ribosomal RNA, 606 nt
Filed under: Geastrum sp. TNS KH-JPN09-223
Lineage: Eukaryota; Fungi; Basidiomycota; Agaricomycetes; Geastrales; Geastraceae
Description: eukaryotic LSU rRNA
Rfam family: 5.8S ribosomal RNA (bases 208-362)
Source: RNAcentral
UUUCCGUAGGUGAACCUGCGGAAGGAUCAUUACUGAAAGACAAAGGAUUUGAGACUGCGUUCCAUAGCGGCGUGUGCUCGAUCCUUACUCUUUUAUCCACACACACCUUUGUGCACCAUUGGAGGAUGAGUUUUCAUCCUCUUUUUUUUACACACAAACACAGUUUUUAUGCAUGUAUGAUAGUGAUACUCUAUGGAGUAAAUCUAUAACUUUCAACAACGGAUCUCUUGGCUUUCGCAUCGAUGAAAAACGCAGCGAAUGUGCGAAACGUAAUGUGAAUUGCAGAAUUCAGUGAAUCAUCGAAUCUUUGAACGCAUCUUGCGCUCCUUGGUAUUCCGAGGAGCAUGCCUGUUUGAGUGUCGUGAAAUACUCAAUUUCAAACUUUUGUUUUUGAAGGUUUGAAAUUGGAUUUGGGUGUUGUUGUGGAAAUGACUCACCCUAAAUGCAUUAGUGAUCUGCCAUUGAUCAUGGGCAAUGUGAUAAGAAAAAAGCAUUGUUAAAGAUCGGGGGUAAUGAUUGCUUCUAACUGUCGAAAGACAAUGCAUAUAUGUAUGUUAUAUGCGGUUUGACCUCAAAUCAGGUAGGACUACCCGCUGAACUUAAGCA